Molecule: transfer RNA, 159 nt
Filed under: Ornithodoros porcinus
Lineage: Eukaryota; Metazoa; Arthropoda; Arachnida; Ixodida; Argasidae
Description: tRNA-His
Source: RNAcentral
GGGAAGAUGAUGGAGGUGCGAGAGUUAUUGUUAAUAUUAUUUCAUUUAGCUCCUUUAUUGCUUUGGAUUUUUAAGAUGGAGUUUUUUUUGGAAUGGUUUUACUUGAUUAGUUUAUUAAAAUAUUAAAUUGUGGAUUUAAAGAAGUGUUAACAUUAAGUA